This 499-nucleotide ribosomal RNA is filed under the name uncultured bacterium. RNAcentral's name for it is "partial 16S ribosomal RNA". It matches the Rfam family "Bacterial small subunit ribosomal RNA", at positions 28 to 507 of the family's 1533-position model. The record is from RNAcentral.
GAUGAACGCUGGCGGUGUGCCUAAUACAUGCAAGUCGAGCGACCACACGAUAGUGCUUUCACUCUCUGGCUUUCGCGUCGCACGCGUGAGUAACACGCAUCUAACCUUCCUAUUUGACUGGGAUUACUUCGGGAAACCUUAGCUAAUUCCCGCUAACAUUUAGCUUCUCAUGACGCAAUAUUUUCAGACGGUUCUGCUUUCACUUAUAGAUGGACCCGCGGUGUAUUAGCUAGUUGGUGAGGUAACGGCUCACCAAGGCAACGAUACGUAGCCGAUCUGAGAGGGUGAUCGGCCACACUGGGACUGAGACACGGCCCAGACUCCUACGGGAGGCAGCAGUAGGGAAUAUUCGGCAAUGGGCGAAAGUCUGACGGAGCAAUGCCGCGUGAGUGAAGAAGGUUUUCGGGUCGUAAAGCUCUGUUGUAAGGGAAGAAAAGCUGCAGGAGUAAAUGAAGGUGUCUUGACGGUACCUUAAGAAAAAGCAACGGCUAACUACGUG